This 524-nucleotide unclassified non-coding RNA is filed under the name Athalia rosae (coleseed sawfly). RNAcentral describes it as "misc RNA ENSAEAG00005011339.1". The record is from RNAcentral. Lineage: Eukaryota; Metazoa; Arthropoda; Insecta; Hymenoptera; Athaliidae.
UUCUGCAUGGACGAAGUCGACGAACCAGACAUCCCAGAUCACCUGUGUAUACAAGGCUACAAACAUAUUGUCAUAAACGAUAGCGGAUUAUUCUUUCCUUGUACGGAUAGACAUAUAGACACAUAGAUGACUGUUCUUCACGGGCUGAAGUAUCAGUCGGCCCUGAAAUCGACAUCGAAGAGAUGUUGAUAUCAGAGGUACGGAACCGCCCAAUAUUAUGGGAUCACAGGUUAUCGAUCAUUUCAUGGGGAAAAACGGCUACAGCAACUCAAUGGGCAGAGGUUUCUAGGGCAUUGAAUGGUCAAGUAAUGGCUGUUGAUGCAGCAAAAAAGUGGCAGCUGUAUGCAGUUGACUGCGUGGAGCUUUUACGUCGCUGAAUCAAUGGUUAGCAACAUAGUUUGGGAAACAUGCCAAGUGAUUUGGGAUACAUUAUCACCAAUCUAUGUCAAAUCGCCAGACUCACAAGAAGACUGACGAAUGAUCGCUGAUGAAUUCUACCGGCGAUGGAAUUUUUCAAAUUGCUU